RNAcentral lists this ribosomal RNA (1386 nucleotides) under uncultured bacterium. RNAcentral describes it as "bacterial SSU rRNA". It matches the Rfam family "Bacterial small subunit ribosomal RNA". The record is from RNAcentral.
GUUUGAUCUGGCUCAGGAUGAACGCUGGCGGCGUGCCUAACACAUGCAAGUCGAGCGUGAUAUUCUGGAAUGAAACUUCGGUCGAAUGAAAGAAUUGAAAGCGGCGGACGGGUGAGUAACGCGUAGGCAACCUGCCCUUCACAGAGGGAUAGCCACUGGAAACGGUGAUUAAUACCUCAUAAUGCGAGAGAGUCACAUGGUUCUUUCGCCAAAGAUUUAUCGGUGAAGGAUGGGCCUGCGUCUGAUUAGCUAGUUGGUGAGGUAACGGCUCACCAAGGCAACGAUCAGUAGCCGACCUGAGAGGGUAAUCGGCCACAUUGGAACUGAGACACGGUCCAAACUCCUACGGGAGGCAGCAGUGGGGAAUAUUGCACAAUGGGCGCAAGCCUGAUGCAGCAACGCCGCGUGAACGAAGAAGGUCUUCGGAUUGUAAAGUUUUGUCCUUGGGGAAGAAACAAAUGACGGUACCCUUGGAGGAAGCCCCGGCUAACUACGUGCCAGCAGCCGCAGUAAUACGUAGGGGGCGAGCGUUAUCCGGAAUUAUUGGGCGUAAAGAGUACGUAGGUGGUUUUGUAAGCGCGGGGUGAAAGUCAGUGGCUCAACCAUUGUUAGCCUUGCAAACUGCAAGACUUGAGUGCAGGAGGGGAAAGUGGAAUUCCUAGUGUAGCGGUGAAAUGUUUAGAUAUUAGGAGGAACCCCAGUGGAGAAGGGGUCUUUCUGGACUGUAACUGACACUGAGGUACGAAAGCGUGGGGAGCAAACAGGAUUAGAUACCCUGGUAGUCCACGCCGUAAACGAUGAGCACUAGGCAUUGGGAUCGCAAGAUCUCGGUGCCGUAGUUAACGCAUUAAGUGCUCCGCCUGGGGAGUACGCACGCAAGUGUGAAACUCAAAGGAAUUGACGGGGACCCGCACAAGCAGCGGAGCAUGUGGUUUAAUUCGAAGCAACGCGAAGAACCUUACCAGGACUUGACAUCCCGAUGACCGCCCUUUAACAGGGGCUUCUCUUCGGAGCAUCGGUGACAGGUGGUGCAUGGUUGUCGUCAGCUCGUGUCGUGAGAUGUUGGGUUAAGUCCCGCAACGAGCGCAACCCUUGUUAUUAGUUGCCAGCACGUAAAGGUGGGCACUCUAGUGAGACUGCCGGGGACAACUCGGAGGAAGGUGGGGAUGACGUCAAAUCAUCAUGCCCCUUAUGUUCUGGGCUACACACGUGCUACAAUGGUCGGUACAGAGAGAAGCAAUACCGUGAGGUGGAGCAAAACUCUAAAACCGAUCCCAGUUCGGAUUGUAGGCUGCAACUCGCCUACAUGAAGUUGGAGUUGCUAGUAAUCGCGGAUCAGAAUGCCGCGGUGAAUGCGUUCCCGGGUCUUGUACACCCCGCCCGUCA